AAUGACGCAUUGAUGACUGAAGCAUAAUAACAACAUCUAGUACCAAACUCAACACAAACAUUACAGAGUAAUACUUUUAAGGACAUGAUUUCCUGCAACAAAUGUUUGGGUUCAUUUCCUGGUCAGCUGAUCCAGCCGGAGCCGCUUCGCACCGGGACGACGCGUCUCACCGUCCGGACCGCGUUUAAAAUGACUGCGACGGGACCGUGAGCCACGUGGAUCAGUACCGGAGAGUGGAUCGGCACCGGGGUCUCCGGGGGUCUGCGCACCAGCGUCGAGCAGCAGACUGAGUCCUCCUGCUUCUCUUCUCUGCUUCCGGGAUCGUUUCCUCUCGUCUCAGGACGCUGCUGAGACACAGCCCCAGUGAACUGGAUUCAAUGGUACACAUAGUAUUGUUGGAUCAGGACUGUGAGCGUCUCUGUCUGUCUCGUCCCCCCGAUGGAUGUUGUUCAGUUCAGAGUCACAGGGGAGCUUCAUCUUCGUUCUGUUGCAGGGCUGCAAACGUUGUCCUGGAACAAGUAGCACCCAAACUGGGGGGUUAGAAUUUGGGAGAACAGCAUAUUUUGCUCAUCCACCGAAGUUAUUCACCCAAAACACUGAUGACUUUUCCUCUCAUCGCUGCAGGAAUGUUCCUGAAUCCUCAUAACUCCUUUCAUCUCAUGCUGCUUCCUUUGUUAGCUCCUUUAGCAUAGGAAAGGUGCUUUAAUGCUUCCUUUGUCAGCUCCUUUAGCAUAGGAAAGGUGCUUUAAUGCUUCCUUUGUUAGCUCCUUUAGCAUAGGAAAGGUGCUUUAAUGCUUCCUUUGUUAGCUCCUUUAGCAUAGGAAAGGUGCUUUAAUGCUUCCUUUGUUAGCUCCUUUAGCAUAGGAAAGGUGCUUUAAUGCUUCCUUUGUUAGCUCAUUUAGCAUAGGAAAGGUGCUUUAAUGCUUCCUUUGUUAGCUCCUUUAGCAUAGGAAAGGUGCUUUAAUGCUCACAGUUUGCUUCGUCCUUUU
Gasterosteus aculeatus aculeatus (three-spined stickleback) is the source of this 989-nucleotide non-coding RNA. Lineage: Eukaryota; Metazoa; Chordata; Actinopteri; Perciformes; Gasterosteidae. The record is from RefSeq and is a predicted model, not a curated record.